AAUGUAGGCGGUUUUGCAAGUCAGGGGUGAAAUCCCUCAGCUUAACUGAGGAAGUGCCUUUGAAACUGCAUAACUAGAGGACAGGAGAGGAAAGUGGAAUUCCCGGUGUAGCGGUGGAAUGCAUAGAUAUCGGGAGGAACACCAGAGGCGAAGGCGGCUUUCUGGACUGAUCCUGACGCUGAGAUUCGAAAGCUAGGGGAGCAAACA
This 207-nucleotide ribosomal RNA is filed under the name uncultured bacterium. RNAcentral describes it as "partial 16S ribosomal RNA". It matches the Rfam family "Bacterial small subunit ribosomal RNA", at positions 568 to 774 of the family's 1533-position model. The record is from RNAcentral.